UGGGGAAUAUUGCACAAUGGAGGAAACUCUGAUGCAGCAACGCCGCGUGAGUGAAGAAGUAUCUCGGUAUGUAAAGCUCUAUCAGCAGGGAAGAAAAUGACGGUACCUGACUAAGAAGCCCCGGCUAACUACGUG
RNAcentral lists this ribosomal RNA (135 nucleotides) under uncultured Anaerostipes sp. RNAcentral describes it as "partial 16S ribosomal RNA". It matches the Rfam family "Bacterial small subunit ribosomal RNA", at positions 355 to 507 of the family's 1533-position model. Lineage: Bacteria; Bacillati; Bacillota; Clostridia; Lachnospirales; Lachnospiraceae. The record is from RNAcentral.